This 972-nucleotide long non-coding RNA is filed under the name Homo sapiens (human). RNAcentral's name for it is "novel transcript". The record is from RNAcentral. Lineage: Eukaryota; Metazoa; Chordata; Mammalia; Primates; Hominidae.
CACACAGCCCUCAGUCCUAAAGGCUGGUCUCACUCCCAUCCUGCCACGCAACAGCACAGGGUCUAUUUCGAGACAGCCAGUGACCAGGGCUGAGAACUUGCCCCAGACCACCAGCCUCCUCACUGAGAAAGCAAGCAGAAUCACAGUUUUUUGGAAUCUCAGGGAGCCUUCAGCGGCAAUCCAGUUCCUUCAAAGGGUCUGUGGAUUCUCUCAGUUUUCAUGAAGCUGGCAUGUAAUUCUCGUUAACUCCAUGAGCAGAGUUUCAAUACUGCCCUGACCAAUGGGCAAAGAUGAUUCCCAGAAACCAGCCAAGGCAAUGUGAAGGAUUCCAAGAGAGGCAAUAUGGAUGAAACCAUUUAUUAGAUUUAUAAGAGCUGAAGGAAAGUGGUAAAGCUAUCCAUCUUCUAUACUUUAUUGAGAACAGGACCAAUGACUCAGACUAUCAGGACAGUAUCUCCAAGACAGAAUUGAAAUCCUAAAGUAAGCAGAGAAUAAGUGCAUACAUUUUAGGAGAAGAGGGAUCAAAGGCAGAAGGAAGAAAUGCACGGGUGUCAGCUGUGACCCUCGAAGGAAAGGGAUCACCCUCUUUCUGACCCUAUACCACCUUCAGCAGGGAUGAAGGCAGUCAGAGAAAACUUAGUUAAAAAAUUUCUAAACUGCUUUGCUGAUUUGAUCUGGGGCCCUGGAGUGCCAACAUCCUGUGAUAGCGGCUGAUUGUUGAUGCCUGGGAGGAUACAGCAGUGACGAUCCAAAUUUACAAGACUCAACAUGGUUUUCAAAACUUCCUUUUAAAAAAGAUGUUCCUGAGUUCUGGAAUCUGAACAAAAUAUGUCUGGUUAUUAUAUAAUUCUAAUGGUCCUUGUGGAUGCUACCAUUAGAGUUCAGUUAGUGUCUCAUCUAUCACUGUAAUAUUUGUAUUGUAACACUAAUCGUGGCAAAGUAUGAUUUGAUAAAUGCUCAUUCUCAAAUCUU